GCUGGAGUGGCGGAACUGGCAGACGCACGGGACUCAAAAUCCCGCGACCUUCACUGGUCAUGUGGGUUCGACCCCCACCUCCAGCACCA
RNAcentral lists this transfer RNA (89 nucleotides) under Acidobacteriota bacterium. RNAcentral's name for it is "tRNA-Leu". It matches the Rfam family "tRNA". Rfam says of the family: Transfer RNA (tRNA) molecules are approximately 80 nucleotides in length. Their secondary structure includes four short double-helical elements and three loops (D, anti-codon, and T loops). The record is from RNAcentral. RNAcentral also lists the same sequence under 4 other names. Lineage: Bacteria; Pseudomonadati; Acidobacteriota.